This 174-nucleotide ribosomal RNA is filed under the name uncultured Aquabacterium sp. Its description in RNAcentral is "partial 16S ribosomal RNA". It matches the Rfam family "Bacterial small subunit ribosomal RNA", at positions 1207 to 1382 of the family's 1533-position model. The record is from RNAcentral. Lineage: Bacteria; Pseudomonadati; Pseudomonadota; Betaproteobacteria; Burkholderiales; Sphaerotilaceae.
GGUAGGGCUACACACGUCAUCAAUGGCCGGUACAGAGGGCUGCCAACCCGCAGGGGGAGCCAAUCCCAGAAAACCGGUCGUAGUCCGGAUCGUAGUCUGCAACUCGACUGCGUGAAGUCGGAAUCGCUAGUAAUCGCGGAUCAGCUUGCCGCGGUGAAUACGUUCCCGGGUCUU